UUUCCGUAGGUGAACCUGCGGAAGGAUCAUUACAGAGUUCAUGCCCGAAAGGGUAGACCUCCCACCCUUGUGUAUUAUUACUUUGUUGCUUUGGCGCCCGCAAGCUCGCCAGAGCAUACCAAAACUCUUUUUAUUAAUGUCGUCUGAGUACUAUAUAAUAGUUAAAACUUUCAACAACGGAUCUCUUGGUUCUG
RNAcentral lists this unclassified non-coding RNA (194 nucleotides) under plant metagenome. RNAcentral describes it as "partial contains small subunit ribosomal RNA, internal transcribed spacer 1, and 5.8S ribosomal RNA". The record is from RNAcentral.